Molecule: non-coding RNA, 105 nt
Organism: Miniopterus natalensis
Lineage: Eukaryota; Metazoa; Chordata; Mammalia; Chiroptera; Miniopteridae
Source: RefSeq, a predicted model, not a curated record
AAGGCCCACUUGAAGGCAAUGAAGCUCCAGACGCAGGACAGAGACUUUGAGUGUGACACUUCAGGAUCUGCAGGCAAUGGGCAUGACAGAAUCAGCCCUCACUCU